RNAcentral lists this non-coding RNA (28 nucleotides) under Rattus norvegicus (Norway rat). The record is from RNAcentral. Lineage: Eukaryota; Metazoa; Chordata; Mammalia; Rodentia; Muridae.
UUGGUUAUUGUCUUCUCAUAUUGACCAA